UACGUAGGGGGCAAGCGUUGUCCGGAUUUAUUGGGCGUAAAGAGCGUGUAGGCGGCCAGGUAGGUCAGCUGUGAAAACUCGAGGCUCAACCUCGAGACGUCGGUUGAAACCACUUGGCUAGAGUCCGGAAGAGGAGAGUGGAAUUCCUGGUGUAGCGGUGAAAUGCGCAGAUAUCAGGAAGAACACCCGUGGCGAAGGCGGCUCUCUGGGACGGUACUGACGCUGAGGAGCGAAAGCGUGGGGAGCGAACAGG
RNAcentral lists this ribosomal RNA (253 nucleotides) under uncultured bacterium. RNAcentral's name for it is "partial 16S ribosomal RNA". It matches the Rfam family "Bacterial small subunit ribosomal RNA", at positions 524 to 776 of the family's 1533-position model. The record is from RNAcentral.